CCUACGGGCGGCAGCAGUGAGGAAUAUUGGACAAUGGACGAGAGUCUGAACCAGCGAAGUAGCGUGAAGGAUGAAUGCCCUAUGGGUUGUAAACUUCAUUUAUAAAGGAAUAAAACGAGGCACGUGUGCCUUUUUGCAUGUACUUUAUGAAUAAGGAUCGGCUAACUCCGUGCCAGCAGCCGGGGUAAUACGGAGGAUCCGAGCGUUAUCCGGAGUUAUUGGGUUUAAAGGGAGCGUAGAUGGGGUGUUAAGUCAGUUGUGAAAGUUUGCGGCUCAACCGUAAAAUUGCAAUUGAUACUGGCAGUCUUGAGUACAGUUGAGGUAGGCGGAAUUCGUGGUGUAGCGGUGAAAUGCUUAGAUAUCACGAAGAACCCCGAUUGCGAAGGCAGCUUACUAAACUGUGACUGACAUUGAUGCUCGAAAGCGUGGGGAGCAAACAGGAUUAGAUACCCCGGUAGUC
RNAcentral lists this ribosomal RNA (460 nucleotides) under uncultured bacterium. Its description in RNAcentral is "partial 16S ribosomal RNA". It matches the Rfam family "Bacterial small subunit ribosomal RNA", at positions 338 to 795 of the family's 1533-position model. The record is from RNAcentral.